GCGGCACCAAUACUGAAUAAAAGAGAUGAAGCCUUCUCAAUAACUGUUCCAGUAUAGAAUGGUUUAUCGACUUACGAUGUCAUAAAAAUUUGGGUGCGAGUGUCCAUCAGGAAAAUUUCGAUCGAAGUACAGAAUUUUCUAGAAUCCGAGUACGAUAAUGUUUUUAUCAGCUGAUUGUAGAGGAGGAGUUUUGUCAGUGUUAGAUGGGUACUAACGUCAUCUUGUGGCUGCAUCCCUUUUGUUUGGCAGGGGUACAAGAGAACCAUGCAGUAACACAGAUAAAAGAUGCAGUUCCUAAGAGAUCCAAAGUCGCAGCUGCUAAGGCUAUACUGACUGAAUUAUCAACAUCCAAAACAAAUUGAUACAAAUCAAAUACAGUACUGUGUGACAGUGGGAAGAUAGAAUUUAAAAAAUGGACAUAACACAAUAUUACUGCAUCAGAGAUCAAUCCAGGUUUACUUAUAAUUUGAAGAAAAACAGUCAAGCAUCAUUUGGAGCUACAUAUGUCACUGCCUUAACAAUAUGCCGGCUUAUAUAACCAAGCAAGCACAGUGACCAGUUGUACCUAUGAUGUUGGAAGAGAUCCUAAAAACCUUCCAGUACACUCAUCACUACCUGCAAAGAAAUAAAAAUUCAAAUGACUUGUAUCAACAUUUGUGUACAUUUGUACUACAUCUGGCUUGUAUUUUCAGUAA
Molecule: long non-coding RNA, 695 nt
Organism: Saccostrea cuccullata (small rock oyster)
Lineage: Eukaryota; Metazoa; Mollusca; Bivalvia; Ostreida; Ostreidae
Exons: 4
Source: RefSeq, a predicted model, not a curated record